ACGUGGAGAGAAGGGGGAACGCGGGAUCCCCGGCCGGAAAGGAGUGAAGGGCCAGAAGGGCGAACCGGGACCGCCGGGCCUGGACCAGCCGUGCCCUGUGGUAGGUGUUGGAACGGGACAGGCCCCCCCGCCUCCAGCCCAGGCCACUGCCACCUGCAGCCAGGGUCGCCCCUGGCCUCACGCUCACCUUGGCUCUGGCCCGGGUGCCCACGCUGCUGCGGUCACUGUGGCUUCCGGUCACUCUGGUCUUGCCUGCCCUUCCCAAGGGGCUGGGUUUGGAGGACCCAACCCCCUCUUCAUCAAGGUGGAGGCCGGCCCCAGGGUGGGGACUGCUGGUCGGGGUCUCUGCCCGUAUUUAGUCAAGUCCAGGGCUGGCCUGAGUCGGGGCGUCCACCUUGGGCUGGGGCUGGAGAAGGGCUCGACCUGCUGCUGAGUUCAGGGAAAUCAGGGACUCCCUGGGAGGGGACCCUGGGAAGGAGGGACCCAGCAGUGCCAGGGCAAGGUGCUCAGACCCCCAGGUCCUUGCCACCUGGAGCCCCAAGCUGGGGCUGACUGCCUCCAGGUUUGAGGCAAGACUGGGUGAAACUCAGUUUCCUCUUCCUUAAAGGGCACCGUUCCUUUCAGGUCUUUCCUGCCAGAAGAAUGUUCUUCUGGUCUGGGAUGGGGGGUAACCCCCUGGCCCCCAGUUCUCCACAUGCCCCAGAACCCCCACCCCUGAGCCUCCUUCACAAAACUCCCCUCCUUUUUUGUUCUUCCCUAAGACCACCCCCCAAGACCCAGGGCCUCAAACAACCAAAAUCACUUCCCUACGUUAGAACGUUCACGGGCCUCACUCUUCUAGCCGAGGACAGAAAAUACACGACAAACAGCACAGCUGAGUCUCCACGUUAGAACUGACCAAAUAAGCGUCCCUGGCCACCCCAGCGAGGGGUGUGGGGGAGGGUCCUCCAGCCGGGCCUUGGGCGUGGGCACGCAGGAGAAUUCCAGAGGGGCGUCAGAGCCCAGAGGUCCUUCGAGUCAGUAGUGAGCCUUUGUCUUUGAAACAGGAGACUCCUAGGCGUGGCGGCAAGUGAGGGGCGCGCGGGGCCCCUGGGUCGCGGCCCUGCCCUGCGGUACGGUAUCUGGCCUGCUGCGUGCUGUGCUGGGCUGCUGUGCCCCUGCCUGUGCCCCCCCCUUCCUCGCUUGUGCCUUCCUUUCUGUUCCGCGCCCCCUCCCCUUUGGUCCUCAGCCUGUGUGCCUCGGGCCUGCCCCGGGGGUGUAAGACCCUGGCUGCGUCUACCUUGCAACCGAGUAGGCGUGUCCCAGCCUGGGGUCUCCCAGGCCCUCUAGACCCAUCAGCGCUCUUCAACUCGCCACCCACCAGGCUGGCCGAGGAAGCCUGUCCCCCUGGUUUGUCCACUUGCCCGGAUGGCCCAAGCCUACUGUGUCCCUUCCACAUGGGUCCCCAGACAUAGGACAGGCCAGAUGGGGGGUGGGAGUCUCACCACCUGGCAUUGAGACAUUCUGGAAGACUGUCCUGUCCUCAGCCUGAAAUCUCUCGGGCCCCCAGGGGAAGCCCCCGGCCCUCCUCCAGGCCAACAAAUGUCCAGACUGCCACCUGAUACUCCACGGUGUCCUUGUGUCUCUGGUCACUGGUCAGCCAUCCUGAAAGAGCAGAGGCACCGACAAAGCACUGUGGGAACGCUCUGGGGACACCGGCAGCUAGGGGCCCUCGGUCCCUGUGACCUGGUGGGUGGGAAGAGACGGGAGCUCCCUGGGCCUACCUACCACCGACUUGGGGGAGGCCUGUGCUGGGUGUCCAAGAGCUGAGCAGGCCCUGUCCCCCACCCGCCCCUCCCCGCCGCUGAAGCUUUCUUCCUUUCUAGGGCCCCGACGGGCUGC
Dasypus novemcinctus (nine-banded armadillo) is the source of this 1881-nucleotide long non-coding RNA. NCBI's taxonomy places the organism in Eukaryota, Metazoa, Chordata, Mammalia, Cingulata, Dasypodidae. The record is from Ensembl.